RNAcentral lists this small RNA (141 nucleotides) under Bacillus tuaregi. RNAcentral describes it as "ydaO/yuaA leader". It matches the Rfam family "c-di-AMP riboswitch aptamer (ydaO/yuaA leader)", at positions 11 to 128 of the family's 134-position model. From Rfam's summary of the family: This family represents a conserved RNA structure found upstream of the ydaO and yuaA genes in Bacillus subtilis and related genes in other bacteria. The ydaO/yuaA element is thought to act as a genetic "off" switch for the ydaO and yuaA genes in its native state. It is believed that the element may be triggered during osmotic shock leading to activation of ydaO, a predicted amino acid transporter gene, and members of the yuaA-yubG operon which code for KtrA and KtrB K+ transporters. Lineage: Bacteria; Bacillati; Bacillota; Bacilli; Caryophanales; Bacillaceae. The record is from RNAcentral.
UUAUUUCGCUUAAUCUUAUUUAAGAGCGGGGGACCCAAUUUUUUCGUAGAAUCUCUGCGUGGGGUGAAUCCUAUCUAUUGGAGGGGCUUACUGUUUCCAUAGUCCCAACCCGAAAGCUAACCUCGUAAGCGUUUAAAGGGA